Molecule: ribosomal RNA, 253 nt
Filed under: uncultured bacterium
Lineage: Bacteria
Description: partial 16S ribosomal RNA
Rfam family: Bacterial small subunit ribosomal RNA
Source: RNAcentral
UACAGAGGGGGCAAGCGUUGUUCGGAAUUACUGGGCGUAAAGGGCGCGUAGGCGGCCUUCUAAGUCGAACGUGAAAUCCCUGGGCUCAACCUCGAGAGGUCGGUGGAAACCGUCUGGCUAGAGUCCGGAAGAGGAGAGUGGAAUUCCCGGUGUAGCGGUGAAAUGCGCAGAUAUCGGGAAGAACACCCGUGGCGAAGGCGGCUCUCUGGGACGGUACUGACGCUGAGACGCGAAAGCGUGGGGAGCAAACAGG